RNAcentral lists this ribosomal RNA (253 nucleotides) under uncultured bacterium. RNAcentral describes it as "partial 16S ribosomal RNA". It matches the Rfam family "Bacterial small subunit ribosomal RNA", at positions 524 to 776 of the family's 1533-position model. The record is from RNAcentral.
UACGUAGGUGGCAAGCGUUGUCCGGAUUUACUGGGUGUAAAGGGCGUGUAGCCGGGUUGACAAGUCAGAUGUGAGAUCCUGCGGCUUAACCGCAGAACUGCAUUAGAAACUGUUGAUCUUGAGUACUGGAGAGGCAGACGGAAUUCCUAGUGUAGCGGUGAAAUGCGUAGAUAUUAGGAGGAACACCAGUGGCGAAGGCGGUCUGCUGGACAGCAACUGACGGUGAGGCGCGAAAGCGUGGGGAGCAAACAGG